This 758-nucleotide long non-coding RNA is filed under the name Callithrix jacchus (white-tufted-ear marmoset). RNAcentral describes it as "lncRNA (ENSCJAG00000076948.1)". Lineage: Eukaryota; Metazoa; Chordata; Mammalia; Primates; Cebidae. The record is from RNAcentral.
AUGGAUCCUAUGAAUAACUGUGGAAUAGUUGUUGUGAUUGCUUUUAUUAGCAGUCCUCAAAACUCAUCUCUGUGUGACCUUGCAGUCCCUGGCCCUACCUGUGGUGCCCCAAAUGUCAGCAUGAUAGCAUCUGGCAGGACGUGUUCCAGGAAGACCACAGAGGCAAACUUUCCAGAUACCAUCGAGAAUUCCUACUCCCAGCAGGAAGAGACCAAACCAAAUAUCGGAGCCAGCAGAAAUAGACUUCUUCUGAGUCAGGUGGCCUACUUCCUGAACUACCAGCUGAAGACCUACAGUAAGUUCUAUAGGUUGACCACCAUGAAGGUGAUGAAGGAUGUCCGGUCUUGUCUCAGGAAACUAACCGUUUCCUUAAUCAAAAUUAAUUUCAUCCUUCCCAUACUUGUGGAAACGAGCAGUGGGCAUUUUAACAUUUAUUUAAAGAUGGAAGACAGUAGCGAAAGUAUUUAGCAACUUUUCUACAUCUGCUGUAAGGUAGGUGUGAGACGGGUUAAAAUCCCAGUAUUGAUUACUGACACAGGCACAGAACCACCUGUUUUCUCAGCAAAAGGCUAAAUCAUGUUUACAGGAGUCUUCUCUGUACCAUAUAAGAUCCUACAUACAAGUAGCAUCUAGUCUGUUGGCCAAAAUGUCUGAGGUUAUUGAACUUCCAUUUGGUUUUUGUUUCUGCUGUGGCACAGUAGGCAAAGCUGUAUUCUGGGAACACUGGGGGAAACACAGUGAUAGCGCACAGUACCCAC